Molecule: transfer RNA, 69 nt
Filed under: Mus pahari (shrew mouse)
Lineage: Eukaryota; Metazoa; Chordata; Mammalia; Rodentia; Muridae
Description: tRNA-Val
Rfam family: tRNA
About the family: Transfer RNA (tRNA) molecules are approximately 80 nucleotides in length. Their secondary structure includes four short double-helical elements and three loops (D, anti-codon, and T loops).
Source: RNAcentral
CAUAGUGUAGCUUAAUACCAAAGCAUCUGGCCUACACCCAGAAGAUUUCACAAAAAGUGAACACUCUGA